AUGUUUUCUGACAGCAGGGCUCCAGCGCCCGGGGAGCAGAAAGGCUUCAAGCCCCACGCCCCUCACUUCAUCCCCUGGCUGCGCAAUAGUCUGAAGCCGCACCACAGCAGUGACCUGGGGCUCAACGGACCAUACAAAUCCACCUCAGAGGCCCGCAACAGCCUGACCCCGCUGGAGAAAGGCAAAGGAAUCGGGUUCUUCUCCAUUCAGGGAAAGGACCGAGCGAAGAAGGGGGAGCUUCGGUGUAAUGGCGUGGGGAUGGCGAGAAUGCUGCCAGUGGUGCUGAGGGGGCACCACAUUCUGCCAGGGAGUCUGGGGAAGCAGAGGGAGGAUAGUCCUGCCAGAUGGAACCAGUCUCCAGAGCUUCACCCAGACUCCAACACGCAGAUGAGUCCAGGGGACGGGCCGCAGGGUCUGAGCAACAGCUCCACGCCCCCGAAGGAGAACCACACCUUUGUUAGGAACCACAGCAGUCACCCGAGCCUCCCUCAGCUGCAGAAUGACGGGACCAGCACCUCAAUAAGGAAAUAUGGGCCGCUAGUGGGACCCCCUCCUGCUCCUGUUCAGGAGGAGCCAAACUGUAAGGUGCCUGCUGUGGUGGGCACGGAGGACAGGAGGGGGAAGGUGUGGGACUACGGCAGCAGUACCACCUACCGCCAAAGAGACCUUCAUUCAUCCAGCUGGGUGAGCUCAGACACUCAGGGACUAAUAGAGAGGCAGCACGGCUUCACCUCCAGCUUCAGCUACAUCAAACAACAGAGCAGGAACUCCCAGAGCCAGAGAGACCUGACAACGCUGAGGGAACCACCUGUGGAGGGUUUCAACGGGCCUCUCAAUGGAGUCAUCUUCUCUACUGAGGUUCCUCUGAGAGGCCUGGGCUGCACCACAACUCUACGAGGCCCCAGGAAACCCAGACCAAGCUCGGAGGGUAUUGGGGUCCUGGGUCAGAACCAGACAUGGGUCCAAUACAGGCCAACCAUCGAAGGGGAGUCACAGAGGAAGGAAGCAGGUUGCAGCAGGAAGGUGGUUCGAAACCAGAUAAAACGAGUGGUGGACAACCUGGAGCAGGUUCUUACAGCACUGAGGGACGUUCACCAGGAAAUGAAAGAGGUGGUGCAGCAGAUUGACAAUCUAACUUCAUCCAUUGAUCUGAAUGAGGAGGAGCAGCAGAGGACUGCAGGAGGCGACAUGGCCAAGCCAACCAGCGACAGCAGCUCCAGUUCAGGUUCCAGCUCCAGCGAGGUGACAGUAGGCAGCACCCAUCAGAGGCUUUCAGAGCCUGAAAACGGGCCAGGAACUACAGACUCAUCUGGCACCCUCAGGAGAGAUCAUCAUAGCAGGAGCCAAUCUCCACCAAAUGUGCUGCUGUGCCCAGUAAACUCUGCGUUUUCAUCAGAGAGGAGUCGAACUCUUCGGUUCACAUGCAGUCUGGGGUCUUCUCCCAGACAAGGUGGGCAGCUGCAGUACAACAAUAAUCUUCCUCCAUCUAACCGCCCUCAACUUCAAAACCUCACCUCUCAUGACCUCGCCUUGUCUCCUCAAAGAAACCUCCCUGUUCGGCCUCCCACUCCUGGUCUCUCCCCUCUAACUGUAAACCUCCAUCACCCCAACGGCCCUGGUUCUCAGCCUCCCUCCCCUGGGCCUUCCUCCUGUAUCAGGGUCAGCCCUGUCUCCCCUCCCUUCCCUCUGUCCCCAAAGCCUCACCCACCCCCCACCCGUAGCCCGUCUGUCAUCAUAGAGAACAAAAUCGCAUCUUAUCAGACCCCACAAAGUGACCACCCAUCUGGUGUUCAGUGUUCUCCAUCAUCGAUUCAGCCUCCCCUUGCCAGCUGCCCACCCACCAACUCAGAAACUCAAACUGUGUCCAACAAUGACAGAGAGCGGAGAACAUCCUCAGCAGGGUCUGUUCAUAGACCUUCACAGGUGUGCACUGCCCCCACAGCCACAGCUAAACCACCAACAGCACAAGGCCGCAGAGGUCGCAAGCCUCCUCCGUACCCCCACCACAGACCCUCUGAGCACACAAAGAAAGUGAAGGAGCCCCGCAAAGCUCCUCCGUACCCUGAGAAAAGGAGGCUGCUCUCGACCACAGUGUGA
Molecule: long non-coding RNA, 2097 nt
Filed under: Dicentrarchus labrax (European seabass)
Lineage: Eukaryota; Metazoa; Chordata; Actinopteri; Moronidae
Description: lncRNA (ENSDLAG00005027474.1)
Source: RNAcentral